AUACCCUUUAGCUUAAUUGGUAAAGUAAUGGUUUUCGAAUCCAUAGACACAGGUUCGAUUCCUGUAAGGGAUA
Molecule: transfer RNA, 73 nt
Filed under: Candidatus Riesia sp.
Lineage: Bacteria; Pseudomonadati; Pseudomonadota; Gammaproteobacteria; Enterobacterales; Enterobacteriaceae
Description: tRNA-Arg
Rfam family: tRNA
About the family: Transfer RNA (tRNA) molecules are approximately 80 nucleotides in length. Their secondary structure includes four short double-helical elements and three loops (D, anti-codon, and T loops). Further hydrogen bonds mediate the characteristic L-shaped molecular structure. tRNAs have two regions of fundamental functional importance: the anti-codon, which is responsible for specific mRNA codon recognition, and the 3' end, to which the tRNAs corresponding amino acid is attached (by aminoacyl-tRNA synthetases). tRNAs cope with the degeneracy of the genetic code in two manners: having more than one tRNA (with a specific anti-codon) for a particular amino acid; and 'wobble' base-pairing, i.e. permitting non-standard base-pairing at the 3rd anti-codon position.
Source: RNAcentral